Molecule: small nuclear RNA, 107 nt
Filed under: Physeter macrocephalus (sperm whale)
Lineage: Eukaryota; Metazoa; Chordata; Mammalia; Artiodactyla; Physeteridae
Source: RNAcentral
AUGCUCACUUCAGCAGCACAUAUACUAAAGUUGGAACAAUACAGAGAAGAUUAGCAUGGCCCCUGCACAAGGAUGACAUGCAAAUUCGUGAAGUGUUCCAUAUUUUU